CCGACCUUAGCUCAGUUGGCAGAGCGGAGGACUGUAGUCUGUGCUGAAAUCCUUAGGUCGCUGGUUCGAAUCCGGCAGGUCGGA
This 84-nucleotide transfer RNA is filed under the name Olea europaea subsp. europaea. It matches the Rfam family "tRNA". Rfam says of the family: Transfer RNA (tRNA) molecules are approximately 80 nucleotides in length. Their secondary structure includes four short double-helical elements and three loops (D, anti-codon, and T loops). Lineage: Eukaryota; Viridiplantae; Streptophyta; Magnoliopsida; Lamiales; Oleaceae. The record is from Rfam by way of RNAcentral.